RNAcentral lists this transfer RNA (81 nucleotides) under Bos taurus (domestic cattle). It matches the Rfam family "tRNA". Rfam says of the family: Transfer RNA (tRNA) molecules are approximately 80 nucleotides in length. Their secondary structure includes four short double-helical elements and three loops (D, anti-codon, and T loops). The record is from Rfam by way of RNAcentral. Lineage: Eukaryota; Metazoa; Chordata; Mammalia; Artiodactyla; Bovidae. RNAcentral also lists the same sequence under 5 other names.
UCCCAGGUAGCUCAGUGGUAAAGAAUCUGUCUGCCUAUUCAGGAGACCCAGGAGACAUAGGUUCAAUCCCUGUAUUGGGAA